UUACCCCUUGCAAGUGGAGGGGCACCAUUUCCAGCCAAUGGAUGAUGGGGGCCGGGGGGAGGGUGGUUAACGCUUGAACAACAUCCCCUAUACAGGGAGAUCCACCAGGGAAAAUUUGUUUAAAUUUUCCCAUACCAUUCAUGGAAGGCAUUCUUUAAUGAAAUUAAGGUUUCGGUGGUAUUGGGAUUGGUUCGCGUAACAUUAGCCAGAUGGUGAGUAAACGGCUCACCCAUAGCAAUGAUUUCUAGGGUUUUUGAGAGGAAGGCCCCCCACACUGGGACUGAGACACGGCCCAGACUCUUACGGGAGGCAGCAGUGAGGAAUAUUGGACAAUGGAUGGAAAUCUGAUCCAGCCAUGCCGCGUGCAGGAAGACGGCCUUAUGGGUUGUAAACUGCUUUUAUACGGGAGCAAUAAGGGUUACGAGUAAUCCGAUGAGAGUACUGUAUGAAUAAGGAUCGGCUAACUCCGUGCCAGCAGCCGCGGUAAUACGGAGGAUCCGAGCGUUAUCCGGAAUUAUUGGGUUUAAAGGGUGCGUAGGCGGCCAUUUAAGUCAGCGGUGAAAUUUUGCAGCUUAACUGUAACAGUGCCGUUGAUACUGUUUGUCUAGGAUUUGGUUGUAGUGUGCGGAAUGUGUGGUGUAGCGGUGAAAUGCUUAGAUAUCACACAGAACACCGAUUGCGAAGGCAGCACACUAAGUCAUUAUUGACGCUGAGGCACGAAAGUGUGGGGAUCAAACAGGAUUAGAUACCCUGGUAGUCCACACUGUAAACGAUGAUAACUCGCUGUCGGCGAUACACAGUCGGUGGCCAAGCGAAAGC
RNAcentral lists this ribosomal RNA (819 nucleotides) under uncultured bacterium. Its description in RNAcentral is "bacterial SSU rRNA". It matches the Rfam family "Bacterial small subunit ribosomal RNA", at positions 48 to 858 of the family's 1533-position model. The record is from RNAcentral.